RNAcentral lists this ribosomal RNA (460 nucleotides) under uncultured bacterium. Its description in RNAcentral is "partial 16S ribosomal RNA". It matches the Rfam family "Bacterial small subunit ribosomal RNA", at positions 338 to 795 of the family's 1533-position model. The record is from RNAcentral.
CCUACGGGUGGCAGCAGUGAGGAAUAUUGGGCAAUGGACGAGAGUCUGAACCAGCCAAGUAGCGUGAAGGAUGACUGCCCUAUGGGUUGUAAACUUCUUUUAUAAAGGAGUAAAACAAAUCACGUGUUCCUUUUUGCAUGUGCUUUAUGAAUAAGGAUCGGCUAACUCCGUGCCAGCAGCCGCGGUAAUACGGAGGCUCCGAGCGUUAUCCGGAUUUAUUGGGUUUAAGGGGUGCGUAGAUGGGUUGUUAAGUCAGUUGUGAAAGUUUGUGGGUCAACCGUAAAAUUGCAAUUGAUACUGGCAGUCUUGAGUACAGUUGAGGUAAGUGGAAUUAGUGGUGUAGCGGUGAAAUGCUUAGAUAUCACGAAGAACCCCGAUUGCGAAGGCAGCUUACUAAACUGUGACUGACAUUGAUGCUCGAAAGUGUGGGUAUCAAACAGGAUUAGAUACCCGUGUAGUC